UGGUCUGUGCUUGGCCUCUACCCAAAGGC
Molecule: non-coding RNA, 29 nt
Filed under: Homo sapiens (human)
Lineage: Eukaryota; Metazoa; Chordata; Mammalia; Primates; Hominidae
Source: RNAcentral